RNAcentral lists this long non-coding RNA (605 nucleotides) under Actinidia chinensis (golden kiwifruit). RNAcentral's name for it is "long non-coding RNA (ACHI_LNC002364)". Lineage: Eukaryota; Viridiplantae; Streptophyta; Magnoliopsida; Ericales; Actinidiaceae. The record is from RNAcentral.
AGAGUCGACUGAGAUCGCCAAAAGAAUCAAUGGCUCCUGGCGACAGUUUUCGAAACCAUGACCUGGCGGGUCCUUUCAAAGUGGCGGAGAACGCUUUGCACAUAAUCUCAUCCGAGCAACCCUGGAGCGACAUUAGGCUCUUGUACGAGUCCAGGUGGUCCAUUGGAUCUGUUUUUCCUUCAUAAAUAUCGAGCUGGGCGGGGAGCUUGAACUUCGAUGAAAUCCGAGCCCUCAAUAUCCUCUCUGUGAACGGCGGUUCUGUCUGUUUAAUUAGUGUGUCCACAGUUACUCGGGCACUUGUUCCAGUAUUGAUGGCGUCGAGCCGUGCGUCCAAGUCUCAAAACUUUUGCGAGGUGGAUUUGUUUUGUGCCCUGAUCCGAUCGUCUUUAUGAGGACUCCUCCCCCUUCUCGACCUGGUUGGAGUUUUACUAGAUUCCGAGGAACUCUUUUCACGUAAGGACGAGCUUGGUGCUUGGCGUCUCCCCCGCCCUACUUGAUCGGCACUGAUAUUUCGAGAACGAUCUCCUGAACGAUUCGAGUGGCGAGAUCGCUCGAUAUCAGGGACGGGUGGUGCUGCUGGAAGUGGGGGGUUGGCAGCAGCGAGG